RNAcentral lists this ribosomal RNA (200 nucleotides) under uncultured eukaryote. RNAcentral describes it as "partial 18S ribosomal RNA". It matches the Rfam family "Eukaryotic small subunit ribosomal RNA", at positions 587 to 839 of the family's 1831-position model. The record is from RNAcentral.
AGCUCCAGUAGCGUAUAUUAAAGUUGUUGCAGUUAAAAAGCUCGUAGUUGAAGUUCUGUACGGAUUGAGUCUCCACGGAGACACAAGCCGUACAUCCGUCUGAUUCUUCAGACACUUUACCUUGAGCAAAUUAGAGUGUUCCAGGCAGGCGCAGCCUGAAUAGUCCAGCAUGGAAUAAUAGAAAAGGACGAAGAGCCACU